GCGGCGGCUUAACACAUGCAAGUCGAGCGGUAACAGAGAUAGCUUGCUAUCUGCUGACGAGCGGCGGACGGGUGAGUAAUGCUUGGGAAUAUGCCUUUGAGUGGGGGACAACAGUUGGAAACGACUGCUAGUACCGCAUAACGUCUACGGACCAAAGGGGGGGAUGCUUCGACACCUCUCGCUCAUUGAUUAGCCCAAGUGAGAUUAGCUAGUUGGUAAGGUGAUGGCUUACCAAGGCGACGAUCUCUAGCUGGUUUGAGAGGAUGAUCAGCCACACUGGGACUGAGACACGGCCCAGACUCCUACGGGAGGCAGCAGUGGGGAAUAUUGCACAAUGGGCGAAAGCCUGAUGCAGCCAUGCCGCGUGUGUGAAGAAGGCCUUCGGGUUGUAAAGCACUUUCAGCGAGGAGGAAAGGUUAGUAGUUAAUAGCUGCUAGCUGUGACGUUACUCGCAGAAGAAGCACCGGCUAACUUCGUGCCAGCAGCCGCGGUAAUACGAGGGGUGCAAGCGUUAAUCGGAAUUACUGGGCGUAAAGCGUGCGUAGGUGGUUUGUUAAGCAAGAUGUGAAAGCCCCGGGCUCAACCUGGGAACUGCAUUUUGAACUGGCAAA
This 611-nucleotide ribosomal RNA is filed under the name uncultured bacterium. Its description in RNAcentral is "bacterial SSU rRNA". It matches the Rfam family "Bacterial small subunit ribosomal RNA", at positions 39 to 640 of the family's 1533-position model. The record is from RNAcentral.